ACGUUUGCCAUGGAAGCAUAUAUACUAAAAGUGCAACGGUGCUUAGCACAGCCACUGCCCAAGAAUGACACACAAAUUCAUGAAGCGCCUGGAUUUUUA
This is a small nuclear RNA of Ursus americanus (American black bear), 99 nucleotides long. Lineage: Eukaryota; Metazoa; Chordata; Mammalia; Carnivora; Ursidae. The record is from Ensembl.